Molecule: ribosomal RNA, 850 nt
Filed under: Staphylococcus pseudintermedius
Lineage: Bacteria; Bacillati; Bacillota; Bacilli; Caryophanales; Staphylococcaceae
Description: bacterial SSU rRNA
Rfam family: Bacterial small subunit ribosomal RNA
Source: RNAcentral
CGUUAGCGGCGGACGGGUGAGUAACACGUGGGUAACCUACCUAUAAGACUGGAAUAACUCCGGGAAACCGGGGCUAAUGCCGGAUAACAUGUUGAACCGCAUGGUUCUACAGUGAAAGACGGUCUUGCUGUCACUUAUAGAUGGACCCGCGCCGUAUUAGCUAGUUGGUGGGGUAACGGCCUACCAAGGCGACGAUACGUAGCCGACCUGAGAGGGUGAUCGGCCACACUGGAACUGAGACACGGUCCAGACUCCUACGGGAGGCAGCAGUAGGGAAUCUUCCGCAAUGGGCGAAAGCCUGACGGAGCAACGCCGCGUGAGUGAUGAAGGUCUUCGGAUCGUAAAGCUCUGUUGUUAGGGAAGAACAAAUGUGUAAGUAACUGUGCACAUCUUGACGGUACCUAACCAGAAAGCCACGGCUAACUACGUGCCAGCAGCCGCGGUAAUACGUAGGUGGCAAGCGUUAUCCGGAAUUAUUGGGCGUAAAGCGCGCGUAGGCGGUUUUUUAAGUCUGAUGUGAAAGCCCACGGCUCAACCGUGGAGGGUCAUUGGAAACUGGAAAACUUGAGUGCAGAAGAGGAGAGUGGAAUUCCAUGUGUAGCGGUGAAAUGCGCAGAGAUAUGGAGGAACACCAGUGGCGAAAGCGGCUUUCUGGUCUGCAACUGACGCUGAUGUGCGAAAGCGUGGGGAUCAAACAGGAUUAGAUACCCUGGUAGUCCACGCCGUAAACGAUGAGUGCUAAGUGUUAGGGGGUUUCCGCCCCUUAGUGCUGCAGCUAACGCAUUAAGCACUCCGCCUGGGGAGUACGGUCGCAAGACUGAAACUCAAAGGAAUUGACGGGGACCCGCAC